This 1307-nucleotide long non-coding RNA is filed under the name Nicotiana tabacum (common tobacco). Its description in RNAcentral is "long non-coding RNA (NTAB_LNC008531)". Lineage: Eukaryota; Viridiplantae; Streptophyta; Magnoliopsida; Solanales; Solanaceae. The record is from RNAcentral.
AAAAACUAAAGAGACUCUGUUUUUCCAAAACACAACUCAUCGAUUUGCCCUAGUCUCCACAAUAACGCACGCCUCUCUACCUCCCUCUAUCCAUCUCUCAAAAUUUGUAUUUUCUCAAAGCAAAGGUUACAAAUUUGUUGAUUUGCGAAUCGCAGGUCUACCCUAGUUUUCAACCUCGCUCGUUUGCGAAUCUCAGGUAUACCUCUUUUCUGAGUUGCUCUUUUUCAUAAUUUCAUUCUGAGUUUUUCUUCUCCUUGAUAAAUAACAAAAUACUGAAACUAUCAGGUUUAUUCACCCCCAUCAGCUGUUGGGACAAACUUAGACAUGAUCACAAAUAAGAAUCUUGCCGUGUAGGAAACUUUUGAAUUUGACUUAGCUUCACCUAUAUGCGAAUUAUAGCAUGGAUUACAUUAGCACCUACAGAGAAUUAAAUCGAACAAAAAAUUGGCAUUGUCAAACAAGAAUACCGUUUUAGCAACUGGGCCUAAGAAAGCUUCCGUGGAAAUAUUGAUAAUAUGACAUUGAAUAUCCUCUCGAAUUCCACCUACUCGAUAUCCUAAUCGCCGAAGAAGCUAGGUAGAUGACAAAAGAUGCAAUAUACAUGUGUAGGUCAAUUAAUCAAUGGAAAAAUUAUUAGGUUGGGAUUCCUUAUUUGAUAAUUUUAUUUCUCUAAAGUUUAUUCAUGUAUGUCGUGUAUUGUGUCUCUUAAGAAUUAUGUGUCUGGUGAAUUAGUUAAUUCAUAUUUGUAGCGUAUUUUUUGAAAAAGCUAAUUAUUUCUUGAAUGGCUAAAAGUUCACCAGCUGCUUGUAAAUUUUACUUCCUCAUCUUAGUUAGCUAAAAGUUUAACGUUAAGUUCUGUUUGGAAGCUGAUAUGUUCAAUGAUGUUAUUUGUAUUUGUGGAUAGUUCUCAAAAAAGGGAACAACUGUAUAUCAAUAAUUGUCUAUCUUUGCUGCAUAUGUUGAAGUAUUCAAGAAUGAGAUUCAUAAAUUUGCAAACUUUUGAGCAAAUAUAUUUACUGAGUAAUGGUGUGUAUUCCAUGGUAGUGGAAGAGCGAUGCUGAAAUAUAUAUGAGUGCCUAAUUAUUAGCUCUCCACUGUCGUAGUUCCAAUUCUUACCUUCUAGCUUUUGCUUGAUAUGUGUUUGUGAUAAUGAAAUUUGUUGAAUCCAUUGCAAUCAAAUCAGCUGUGAAUUGGCAAGAGAAGUGGUAUUUUGGAUCGAGUUCCUUCAAUUUGAUGUCAGAGUCUUCAUAUUUUGUCUUUUCCGAAGCAUGAGCAAUAGUUCAGAGAAAGGGACAAGAACGUAGACA